UACAGGCUUAACACAUGCAAGUCGAGGGGAAACGACAUCGAAAGCUUGCUUUUGAUGGGCGUCGACCGGCGCACGGGUGAGUAACGCGUAUCCAACCUGCCCACCACUUGGGGAUAACCUUGCGAAAGUAAGACUAAUACCCAAUGACGUCUCUAGAAGACAUCUGAAAGAGAUUAAAGAUUUAUCGGUGAUGGAUGGGGAUGCGUCUGAUUAGCUUGUUGGCGGGGUAACGGCCCACCAAGGCGACGAUCAGUAGGGGUUCUGAGAGGAAGGUCCCCCACAUUGGAACUGAGACACGGUCCAAACUCCUACGGGAGGCAGCAGUGAGGAAUAUUGGUCAAUGGACGAGAGUCUGAACCAGCCAAGUAGCGUGCAGGAUGACGGCCCUAUGGGUUGUAAACUGCUUUUAUAAGGGAAUAAAGUGAGUCUCGUGAGACUUUUUGCAUGUACCUUAUGAAUAAGGACCGGCUAAUUCCGUGCCAGCAGCCGCGGUAAUACGGAAGGUCCGGGCGUUAUCCGGAUUUAUUGGGUUUAAAGGGAGCGUAGGCCGGAGAUUAAGCGUGUUGUGAAAUGUAGACGCUCAACGUCUGCACUGCAGCGCGAACUGGUUUCCUUGAGUACGCACAAAGUGGGCGGAAUUCGUGGUGUAGCGGUGAAAUGCUUAGAUAUCACGAAGAACUCCGAUUGCGAAGGCAGCUCACUGGAGCGCAACUGACGCUGAAGCUCGAAAGUGCGGGUAACGAACAGGAUUAGAUACCCUGGUAGUCCGCACGGUAAACGAUGGAUGCCCGCUGUUGGUCUGAAUAGGUCAGCGGCCAAGCGAAAGCAUUAAGCAUCCCACCUGGGGAGUACGCCGGCAACGGUGAAACUCAAAGGAAUUGACGGGGGCCCGCACAAGCGGAGGAACAUGUGGUUUAAUUCGAUGAUACGCGAGGAACCUUACCCGGGCUUGAAUUGCAGAGGAAGGAUUUGGAGACAAUGACGCCCUUCGGGGCCUCUGUGAAGGUGCUGCAUGGUUGUCGUCAGCUCGUGCCGUGAGGUGUCGGCUUAAGUGCCAUAACGAGCGCAACCCCUCUCCUUAGUUGCCAUCAGGUCAAGCUGGGCACUCUGGGGACACUGCCACCGUAAGGUGUGAGGAAGGUGGGGAUGA
RNAcentral lists this ribosomal RNA (1150 nucleotides) under uncultured bacterium. Its description in RNAcentral is "bacterial SSU rRNA". It matches the Rfam family "Bacterial small subunit ribosomal RNA", at positions 41 to 1182 of the family's 1533-position model. The record is from RNAcentral.